Long non-coding RNA from Oryzias melastigma (Indian medaka), 5950 nucleotides. RefSeq lists it as uncharacterized. The record is from RefSeq and is a predicted model, not a curated record. Lineage: Eukaryota; Metazoa; Chordata; Actinopteri; Beloniformes; Adrianichthyidae. The transcript is spliced from 2 exons.
CGCAGAUGGAACAGCGAGGUGCCGCGCCGGCGUUCAGGAAGGUGCAGCGUCCGCAGGACCACUCGCUGCUUCGGACUGCUGCGGCCAUGGAGCCGGGAGAGUGAGAGUGGCUGUGAAACAUUAAAACAGCCUGCCUGUCUGAGGACUGCGAACAGCGAUGACGACAGCAGCGAGUGUCACCACCUCGUGUUUGAUGACAGCUUCCACCCUGUAACCCAUUUCAUGACUGUCAGCCGGCUUUAAUCUCACAAAAGAACGCCUACGAAUUCAACGAGUUUGUCUCAACAUGUAGUUCUCUGAAGUAUGCAAAUUGUGUUUUUGUGAAAGGAAAUCCAUCUCAAGACUUAGCCAUACUCUAAAUUCAAGAUCAUCUUCAAUAACAUUGAUGUCUAGAAGUUUCUUCUGUAUUCAGCUAGUCAAAUAACUAAUAUUACAACUUGUAUUUUACAAAACACUGACAAAUCAUGUCUCUAACAGUCUAUCGAGUGGUGCAGCAGAAGAUGAAGCACGGCAGCCUGUGAUCUCUAAACCCCAAUCAAAAGGAUGUUCUCCAUGCUCAUGCUCCCUUUUCCUCAAAGGAGUGCACACACCUUUUGUCCUUGGCCCUGUGCUCACUGGAGCUGCUCUAAAAGGCCCCACUUCAGCUUCUCACUAGAGCAGACCUGGGCAGCUGGCCAGCAGUUUACAAUGCAUACAGCUAUCCGUGCAGUUUUUCCUCCAUGCAGUCCAAAUUCACUUUAGAGGGAGAAAUAACUAAAAAAAAUACUGUUAUCCGACUAUGCAUACAUAAGAAAAGAUAUUAAUAUUCAUACAGAAAAAAACUUCAACAUAGUAAAGGAUACAUGAACCAUCAAAGAUAAAACUUCACAAUUUUUAAAUAAAAAACAAGUGCAAAAGUAGAGUAAAACAUUAAUAAAAAGUAACGAAAUUGUUAAUUAUAAAGUACUAACCAGCUGUUGUUUUCCUCUGAUUUAUUUUACAAACUGAACUCCACAAGAGAUCAAGAGAGCUGAACUGUGCCAGUUUGUCCCUGCCCGACUGUGAGAUAUUUGGCCUUUGUGCGACAGUCAUUAGCACUGCCAUUCUAAAGUUGGCUCUGAGCCCACAGCCUGAGGGAAACAUGCAGUUCCUUCCUUGACCAGAGGGGGCAGAGUGCUCCUGCUUGACUGAUUUUGACAAAGAAUUGGCGUAAAACCAGGGGAAACAAUAAAAUAAAGGAUUUACACCAAAGAAAUUGCUGAAUACCUAAAACAUUUAUUAUUUAGCUUUAAGUCUGUUUAAGAAGUUGGAAAUGUAAAAUCUGCAAGCUCCCUUAAAAUAAAAUUGUAUUUUUUAAAUAUUAAUAAUUUGAAUUAAAGAGAAGAUUGUAAGGUGUCAGAGAGUCAAAUAAAUGUCAAAUUUAUGUUAAGACACAGCUCUAAAGAACAAAAAUGACAAAAAAAAACUUGGAAAUUAGCAAUGUAGAGUCUCGUUUUGUCCAUAAUACUUAAUAUCUGACUCAAUACCAAAUCAAUUCAAUCAAAAUGUUUCAUCAGUAUGCAGCUGGAAGCUGUUUCUUAGACAGAAUAAAUGAGUCAGCAAACUGGUAGGGGAAAAAAGAGAGCGUUCCAACAAACUAAAGGACAGACUCAUACAGCAUGUACAGUACACGCAAAGACUUGCAAUUGUGCUGAAAACAGAAGUAUUUAUGCGGAUGGGAAACAAGAUAAACUAUCAUUAGGUUUUCAGUAAAACUAUGUACUAUUCUUAAAAAAUUGCUACAAAAUCCAAUAAUUUUAGAAUAUUAUGUAAAAUUGUAUUUACUUCAGAAAUUAAGCUUAAAAGUGAAACUCAAAACACAGAAACGGAAUCAGUUUACGUUUGUUUAUCCAUUGUUUACCGUUGAAGCCAAAACCUGUAACUCAGAACCAUGAAAGAUUAGAAUAUCAUGUAAAAAAGUUCAGGAUCAUUGAGGCUGGUGGUGUAGCACUCUAUCUCUAUAUCAAAAAAAUAAUUCAAACAUCUGCGGAUGUUUCCAAGUUUGAAAGUCCGCUUUGCGUCAUAAAAAUGGAUUAAACUCAACUGAUCCAAGAAAUGUGUUCAGAUCCACAUAACUGUUCCACAACAAGCUAAGCAGAGGCACCAAAAAAGCACAAGUUUAAGAAUGAACCAUAGAGGGUGCAAAUCAAUAAUCUAUUUACGUUGUGUUUAAAAAAAUGUAAGCAACAAUUUAACACAUUUAUAUCAACAAAAUUACUGUUUUUCCUGAUGGAAUUCUCCCUUAAAAAAAGAAUAUUACACUCCUAUUGCUUUUUCAAUGUGCUACAAUCAGUCCCAAACAAUUCAAACUAAGUAAGAUGAACGAAAAACAUUAGAAAAUUUAUUGGAGUUUUAAGAUAGUGCCUAAUGAGUUUAGUCAAUUGCAAAAUAUGUUUUGUUGUUUACCAACAUCUCCUAUUAGGAUUAGGCUUGUUAUGCACACUGAACAAGCGCAGCUUAUGAGAGAGUUGAACAAGUAAAUAUUACAUGAGAGCACAUUGUGUUACUGCGCUAUAGGAACCUUUUUAUAUGAGCUGCACAUUUAAAAUUGAUCAGAAUCUUUGUGCUGAUUUACAUUAUCAGCAGCAGAAAAGGGAAGUUUCCAGUUUAAAGUCUAUCCACAGCAAUCUUGUAACCUUUCACUGAUUUUUUUUUAUUUUUUUUCCUCCAUGAUGAAUUCUUUAAGAAGACCCCUCGAGGUCAGAAUCAGGGUCAGACAAUAGAUCUUAAGUGGGAAAGCCUCUUUCCAUUUUCCAAGUACUGCCUCAUGGCAUCAUAUGACUCAUCAAUAAGUACAGGUCUGGAAUGAAUUUAGAAGUCCACUCUUUAAAGGUGGAGGAGUAGCAACAGCCAAGCCUGAAAGCAGCAGAUAAAAAUGUGAUUUUGGAACAUUUCAACAUGCUGAAACGUGCAGCUGUGAAAGGAGGGGCGGUUUAGGGCGACGCCUCCAUGCCGACAUUGCUUUCCCAAGAAAGACCCAAAGCUAGACAAAACAAACUGAGAAGCAUUUGCAAAAAAAAAAUAAAUAUAAGCUUAUUUUUGGUUCUUAAUUCAUUCAAAUACAGAUAAUUGUUAUUUUUAAGCCAGUUUUAUCAACUUUAGGAUGAUCAAGGCCUUGAAAAACCAAAAAAAAAAGUGCUCCUUUUCCAUAAUCCACGCUCAUUUCUGACAGGUAAAUCUGUCAGGGCUGGAGACAACUUCAGACAUUUGAAUCAUUAAACAAGGGAAACUGUCUGGCUCGGGUUCAGCAGACUUUAGUGACAGAGCAACGCUGGAAGCUGGCAGAAAGCUGCAGAAACGGGGACGAGGUGCCAAAGGAGCUGCUCUGUGGCAGCUGCAAUAAUCUCCAUUUUUAGUUGGCUCUGAGAACGACGGGCGUGUUUUACGUGAAGUGUGAAAACGAUAUAUUUUCUCUAAAAGGUGCCACUCGCUUCCAUUGUUUCCUUCAUACGCUGAAAACAAUGGAGGCGGCCUUUUACAUGUGAGGCUGCCAGGUUCAAAUGUGUGGUCUUAUCUGGGGCCUGAUGGAAUUAGGUUACUGAGCAUAUGCUACAGAUUUCCAUGGCAACAAGAGUGGGGAAAUCUGGAAUCAUGUCAGCCGCAGUGCCAACAGGCAAUUUAUUUAUUUAUUCAUUUAUUUAUUGCUCUGCAACAACAGCUCUGUUUUCUCAAAGGAAGCUUCACUGCUAGAGGAAACCUUAAUGUGAACAAAUUCUAGAGGAUUUGCAAACUGUCCUGACACCGAGCCUGUUUAUUCAAAACGGCAGCAGCAGCAGCGAGGGGAGACAUGCCGAAGUGAAAUGGACAUAAACACAGCCAGUGACAAUGCUUGUUGAGUCCGAGUGGACUGGUUUUAAUCCAAUUAAAGAGAAGAGGGCCGGUGGAAUGGAGCUGCGAUAAACGGAGUCAUCCAUCAUGCUGGGACGGUAGAGACGCUGGGAUCCGCUUUGCAGAGCUUCUUGAGGCUUAAAAGCCCCAAGAUGCUCAAGGCCACAAAAACACAAUGGUAACACAAGGAUGAACAAAUAAAUAAAGCAAAGUGACAUCGCUGAGUGAAUGCUUUGAGUCUCCAAAGCUUUUAGACAGGGCGGCUAACGGGCUACAUUUCUGUGCUUAAUAAGAACGAUUUUUCAUAAGUAAUCUUUCAUAGUUGCUUUUACUAAUUCAUGGCACCCUAACACUUCCCUGAAGCUAUGACUGGAGCGACACAAAAAGACAUCUCUGCAUAUGAAUCCUCAACGAUAAAAAAAUGAUUUAAAAAAGGAGGGGGGUUUAACAUCUUUGAAAAUAGAUGAGAACGUCUGAAAAAAAGGGGGGCGUCCAGUGUUCUGUUGUCUGUUUUCAUGCUCAAGUCUGCAAAGCUUGGCGUCCACGGCCAGAAUUAUGCAGCUGUGUAUGUGCGGAAGAUGGAAUGUGUGUUAGUUGGGGUGAAAAGUGAUAGAAGAUAGGUUCCAAGUGCUUUCCUUCAGUUUUUCUACAGCAUCUGAUGUCAGUUUAUGUUCGCAUAAGCGUCCCUUUAUGACUUCCAGCAGCAGGUACAAAUGGACUGUAAUAGUCUGUUUAUCCGAGCAAAUGCUCUCAGCUGACUGAGGGUGUGGACAGCUUGGCAAUAGAGGAAUAGUUGCUGGAAAGAAGCACAAAUAAUGAAAAACCACAACUAAAUACAGCAAAGAUACUAGGGUUUCAUUUAUGUACUGAUUGGUGCAUAAUGGGAACUGAACAGAGUGACUCCGCCCCCCUCGGGUUCCAAACAGGAAGUACCCACUGGUUCCAAGAAGUCGCAAUCCCAUGGACUUCAAUGGAGAAAUAAAAAGCUAUUAUGGAGUUAUUUGUCAACUUGUCCUGUUACCUUUUUUUAUUUUUCUGACAUUCAAGUUAUAAACUGACCAAUCAGAAACGUUAAUAAAAGUAUGUGGUCUUACAUCGAAUGUUCAAUGUCCGCUUUCAAGUGGUAGGGGUAUGGACUUCCAAGAAGCACACUCCUGAUUGGUGAGAAUAGAAAUAUUUGAGACCGACUUGGACCAAUCACAGAUUACUGACGAUUUCUGGUUCCAACACAGCAAUGAUGGAGCUGAAUGUAAGCCAUUUUCAAUGGGUGACAUCUCACUCCCUUGGUCCAUAUACAGUUAAUGAUUGGGACACAGGGCUAAAAAAAACUGCAUUGUUUACAUUUCAAAAUAUAGGCAGCAAAAGGUAGCAGAAGCCAAGACAACUUUAAGGGUGAUAAUGUAGAGCAAACAGAAGGCAGCCAUCGACAACCGUCGGCAGGAAUCAAGAAAGAUGAAAGCCCAACUGGAGACUGAUGCUGAAUAAAUAACGACAUCCACAGUGGGGGAAAUGUGAUCGGGCCCUCUGAAAAUCAAUAACAACCAGACCAUGAUGGCCUGAGUGACUCAGCAACAACUUCAAUACACUUCAGACGGUCGAUAUCACCUGCCUGUUAUUGUUCCAGGAGACAUGCCCCCCCCCAAAAAAGCAAGAGAGCGUGGAAAGGACCGAAAACAAAUAGAAGAAAGCUUCAUGAAGAACGAUGGGGAGGAUCUGCUGUAAAUAAGGCAGUAAAAAACACUGCAUGAGUCCUAUGAAGCAGGUUCUUUGGACGUACUGGCAAUGACUCACAGGGCGAUUACAGGAACCUACCAUGGCAUACUUGUUUCUCUAUUUUUCCUUACAUAAAUAAAAACUGUCAUUACCAAGGAAGUCUACUUAGAAGCAGAGUGUUGAUUCAAUAAAACACGACAAACCACAUAGCUGCUAAGUGCGCUGUAAGAAAAAAACAUUACAACAUUGAGGGUUCGUGUUUAUCAGUUUGCAGUUUCACCGACUCGUUUUGCAAGUCUGAGAAAUGACAACAACUGCUGAUAACAGGAUUUAUGGGCGUUUUCUAGAAAUUGAAAGAAAUAGGAACUUGUAGCUAAGCCUAAUUGAAAAA